RNAcentral lists this ribosomal RNA (252 nucleotides) under uncultured bacterium. RNAcentral describes it as "partial 16S ribosomal RNA". It matches the Rfam family "Bacterial small subunit ribosomal RNA", at positions 524 to 776 of the family's 1533-position model. The record is from RNAcentral.
UACGGGGGGGCAAGCGUUGUUCGGAAUUACUGGGCGUAAAGGGCUCGUAGGCGGCCAACUAAGUCAUACGUGAAAUCCCUCGGCUUAACCGGGGAACUGCGUCUGAUACUGGAUGGCUUGAGUUCGGGAGAGGGAUGCGGAAUUCCAGGUGUAGCGGUGAAAUGCGUAGAUAUCUGGAGGAACACCGGUGGCGAAGGCGGCCUCCUGGACCGAUACUGACGCUGAGGAGCGAAAGCCAGGGGAGCAAACGGG